CUCCAUGAUGCCUUCGUCUCCUCCCUUCUCCCACCGAACCUUAUCCCUAUCCAAGACCUCUAUGUACGAGGAAGACGCCAUAAGCUCCAAUCAUUCCAGCAUUGGUGGCUGUCUCACCUAUAAGAAGUUGAUCGAGAUGGGCGACCCGGAGUUCAAUCGGAUCCACACCACGAUGAUGGGAAGAGAGGGAACCCCCACGAGUGAUAGGAGAGGAAUAUGAUGGGAAGAUAGGGAGACCGACGUUUC
Molecule: long non-coding RNA, 246 nt
Filed under: Elaeis guineensis (African oil palm)
Lineage: Eukaryota; Viridiplantae; Streptophyta; Magnoliopsida; Arecales; Arecaceae
Description: long non-coding RNA (EGUI_LNC028164)
Source: RNAcentral